Molecule: long non-coding RNA, 227 nt
Filed under: Lathyrus oleraceus (garden pea)
Lineage: Eukaryota; Viridiplantae; Streptophyta; Magnoliopsida; Fabales; Fabaceae
Description: Pisum sativum (pea) long non-coding RNA (PSAT_LNC017630)
Source: RNAcentral
GAUUUGGGAAUGAACGGUUGCCUUUGGUCAUGAAUGUAUGCAAAUGAACUUUAGGCCAUGUGCCAAAUAAAAAAUGAAAAAAUGAAAAAAAUUCAGGACCAAAAUCGGGGUAUAACACCUUCCUAAUCAAUUUUAGACUCUACCAUGCUGAUCUAAUCUAUUAGGCAAUUAGAAAAAGUCUUUCAAUCAAUAAGACAUUCCCCAAACCAAUUGGCUAGGCCUAAAAA